GGAGGAAUAUUGGUCAAUGGGCGAGAGCCUGAACCAGCCAAGUAGCGUGCAGGACGACGGCCCUACGGGUUGUAAACUGCUUUUAUGAAGGAAUAAAGUCACCCACGUGUGGGUGUUUGCAUGUACUUUAUGAAUAAGGACCGGCUAAUUCCGUGCCAGCAGCCGCGGUAAUACGGAAGGUCCGGGCGUUAUCCGGAUUUAUUGGGUUUAAAGGGAGCGUAGGCCGCCUGGUAAGCGUGUUGUGAAAUGCCGCGGCUCAACCGUGGCACUGCAGCGCGAACUGGUUUUCUUGAGUGCGCGCGACGCAGGCGGAAUUCGUGGUGUAGCGGUGAAAUGCUUAGAUAUCACGAGGAACCCCGAUUGCGAAGGCAGCUUGCGGGAGCGCAACU
This 389-nucleotide ribosomal RNA is filed under the name uncultured Prevotellaceae bacterium. Its description in RNAcentral is "bacterial SSU rRNA". It matches the Rfam family "Bacterial small subunit ribosomal RNA", at positions 355 to 741 of the family's 1533-position model. The record is from RNAcentral. Lineage: Bacteria; Pseudomonadati; Bacteroidota; Bacteroidia; Bacteroidales; Prevotellaceae.